UACAUUAUAAAUAAAUUGGUCGAUUUACAAACUUUUAAUUUGUUUCUAUACUACAUGCAAAUGAGGAUAAAUAUGACUGCAAUUAUAAAGUUUGUUUAUGUGAUGACCAUUUUUCUUUCAUUAUUUCAUGUUGUAACCAGCUCUGAUGAUGACCCAGUUAUGGUAAUUCGUUAUUGCGAGGCUGAUUCUAACUGUCCAAAUAAAUAUUGUCCCCCUUUUGAAGUUCCCAAGUGUCUUGGUAACAUUUGUCGCUGCGAUGACAAAAAACUAGGCGGGACAUUCCAUUAAUACACAUACAACUUUUGUAUUAUAUAUAUAUUGUCCAAACACAAAUAAAAUGAUGUAAAACAUAUUACAUUGGCAUCUAUUUAUCUAUAUCUCUACGUAUGAAUCUGUAUAAGCAAAGUUUAGAUUGCUUCAACACCUCCAUUGCUUCUAUGCAAUAAUAAUGUACUAAAUUUUGAGUUACAAAACUUCUCAUAUAUUUUUGUGUCAAGAAAAAAAAACUUCUCAUAUAUUUUCUU
Long non-coding RNA from Trifolium pratense (red clover), 524 nucleotides. RefSeq lists it as uncharacterized. Lineage: Eukaryota; Viridiplantae; Streptophyta; Magnoliopsida; Fabales; Fabaceae. The transcript has 3 exons. The record is from RefSeq and is a predicted model, not a curated record.